Molecule: long non-coding RNA, 1185 nt
Organism: Daphnia magna
Lineage: Eukaryota; Metazoa; Arthropoda; Branchiopoda; Diplostraca; Daphniidae
Exons: 3
Source: RefSeq, a predicted model, not a curated record
UCCCUGACGAGUGGACACACUGGGUGCCAGGUAACGCAUCGCCGUCAUAGGAGGUAUUCAAGUUUACAGUCCUUUACCAUUAAGUAGGCCUUGGUGAGUGACUCGAUUUUUAGGAACACAGAAUCGUGCUACAAUAUGUGGGCGUUGUUUUCUUACAUCUGUUGAGUUUUCAGGAAGACCGUCUUACUGCUAGUACUCCUGGCUACACGUUGGAACUUGCUUCAACUGUCAGCGGUGUCCAAUCAUGAGUUCAGCACGAACUUCAGCUGCAAUACCCACGGUCGGCCCACGGUUAUCUUUGUUGCUAAGGUCAAAUUUGAAAACAAGUGGAAGGCCUCCGAAACACAACUAUUGGACUUAUAUAUCGGUUUGGCCUUCUUACUCAAAAUGCCAGUUAGCUGCUGUAACAAAGACCAAACCUCUGCAGGGAAAAUGAGUUGCGUCGUUAUAAAGCGCCUCCCCUUAACAACUAUGAGAACUGAAGUGUAUUUUUUAUCCGCUUGCCGUUGUCCCUUCACUUUAUGGAUUCCACCACUUGAAUGAUAUACGAAGAGGGUUAAAUUUUCCAAGCAACAUGUUCAACUUCAAGCACCAUACUUGUCUGGCCUCAUUUAUGCUUCCUACAAUCCGGGAAGCAUCGGAUAGCAAAUAUCGCUGAUCAUGACGAAAACAUGAGCAAGUCUACGUGGAACAGGAAAUUCGCUACAGUUGCAUAAAGUAAUUGAAUUUGCAGUAUCCUCAGUGCCAGUUUAUUUGUUAGUCAAGACGUCAAGAAUGGGAAGAAAUUUGACACGGGUGCAGCUGAUUGGACAUAUCCCGACUCGGAAUGCUUUACCCAUCUCAUGUUCCCCAUCCAGACUUCGGAGCACAUUUGUUAACUUUUAUUCAUUUUUCCUUUAUUAACUUAGACAGUAGACACUAAAUUGUGAUGCAACAUUCAUCCAAUAUGCGAAUGCCAACAACACCAAACUACAGCAAUAUGAACAACUUCUGUUGACGAAAACCUUGGACGAAUAGAAUUUUCUGGAUAAGAUUCAAAAUUUUCCACAACCGUUGUGCAUGCCUGCUCCCUGGUGGCAGCCACUGACAUUACAAUGACAUUAUAUAUAACAUUUCUGUACGAUUGACGAACGCAAAAACUGAUCUGCCACGCCCGAUAAAUAAUAGUUUCACAUUUACUUUCAA